UGCCCCGUGAAGGAGUUCUAAGUAGUCAAGAAUGAGCCAAAAAAAGGAACAGGGAAGAGUAGGAAAAAACUCCUCUGUUGUCAUUAGGCCAAAAAUUGUGAGUGAGGGUCAUGGUCGGCUCUGUGUGUCCAAACAAGAAGGAAGGAGGGAAAAAGGACAAGGUCAGGAUGAGUGAACUAGAGGCUGUUUCCACUUCCUUGCAUGAGGAAGUAUCUAAAUAUUUCAAGAACUGUUUCCCAGGAGACCUUCUACAAGGGCGUUUGCUAAGUUGUAUACCAAACGGACAGGGAACUUUGAAAUGGCCCCUUCCUCAAACCUGGUCAAAGCCAGGGCGUGUCAUUGAAAUCUCAGGUAUGCCACAAAAUGUUGCCGUUGGUGAUUCUGAGGUACCACCCCUGCUUCUGUGGGCCACCUGUAGGUGUUGUGCACAUCCAGAGUCUGAGUGAGAAUGUGUGGACACGUGUGAGACCUACGCUUGAAUGGCCCAGGCACCUGACUGGCUCUGCCCAUCUCCUUGGCACAGGCCGGCAUUGGCCCUCCUACAGCCCUGGGCCUUGAGGAAGGAGGCUGCUGGGAGGCGGGGGCGGGGGGGUACCCUUCAACAUAGGGAUUCUGGAGGACAACUCAGCCCAUAACUGGGUACACAGGGGUGUGCCACGUGCAGCCUUAGGUGGCCACAGGAGUCCCAGGCAGCCCUCCGUCUGUCUGUGUUCACACCACAGGCUCUGCAGGCUUGGCCUCAUGCCCUCGCGUCGGCCCCUCUCUCCUCGGGGCAGGAAGCCCAGCACCCCCUCAACCUGGAACCUGCAGGAACCUCGCCCUGAAGAAAGCGGUCACUGAAGAGGGCGGUCCCCUAGCAGCUGGCUGGAGGAGGGUGGCCAGCAGAGGGCAGCGUGCGCAGGCUCCCUGGGAGAGCAGGUGGCCACGUGCCCUAGACGGCCUCUGCAUCCCACCAGCUGAGAGCUGGCCUCUAUGCUGGAGAAACCAGAUAGAGGAAAGGGUCUGAUUUCUUGGGAAAGGUGGGGAGCGGGGCAGGUGUUGGCAUCAGUGUAGGAGGCUGGCCCACUCUCUGGGCCGGGGCUGUCUUUCUCAGCAUGAGGCAGAGAUGCUGGAAGUCUUACCAGUCACCACCCGGCCAUAACGAACCCCCUGUCCUGGGCACUUGGCUUUCUGGGAAGAGAGUCUGCAGUUCUCCUUCCGCCUGCACCGGUCUCUGCAAAUGCCGCUGACUGGUGGGUGUGCAUCCAGUCCUGGGUUUGUUGACGGUGCAUGAAUGUGGCCCCUGACUUCUGGGAUCCUUGAGUCUUGCGGAGGGACCAGGCAAUAGGCUCCACGCCCAACAUGAGGGUCA
Non-coding RNA from Leptonychotes weddellii (Weddell seal), 1351 nucleotides. The record is from RefSeq and is a predicted model, not a curated record. NCBI's taxonomy places the organism in Eukaryota, Metazoa, Chordata, Mammalia, Carnivora, Phocidae.